RNAcentral lists this long non-coding RNA (1578 nucleotides) under Chlamydomonas reinhardtii. RNAcentral's name for it is "long non-coding RNA (CREI_LNC000585)". The record is from RNAcentral. Lineage: Eukaryota; Viridiplantae; Chlorophyta; Chlorophyceae; Chlamydomonadales; Chlamydomonadaceae.
UGUUGCUGUGUGUUGGUUGUUGUUCCAAGUGACAGGACGUGAGCAAGCACGGAGGGCAUGAAGGUCUGGGCGUACAGCAAGGGGUUAAGCACGACAGAGCAUUCGCGCCCUCACCGAGCAGGGCCGGGAGCAGCCAUGACAGACAACAACACGCAGACACAUGUAGCACAUGAUGACAACGGCGACUGCUGCCACGCACCUGCACUUGGGCCGUGGCGUGCACGGGCCGGUUUGUGAGCACCGUGAAGGCGAGGUCGCAGUUGCCGGGAGCUAUCCGCCUGGCUAGUUAGAUGUCUUGUACGAGCUAUUGCCCGUGGUGAAAACUGGGCUGCCGUCCGGGGGGUGCGUUUUCCCAGCCAAACCCGCACGUUGGACGUUGCCCCGGGGCAAAUCCUACCGCACGGAUUAGACACCGCCUUUCUGUAGGUACAUAACCAACAUCAUCAUCAGCCAGAAGUGGUCGGCAAAGGUCCAAAUUAUGCUUAUCGGGGCUCAAGUCGCGAAAUUGACCGAAGCCCAUAUCUCGCAUAUGCGCUGUUUGGGGCCUGAAUCUAUUGCCGUCGACAUUAAUUCUCGUAUAGAUGUAAUCAAAAUAGCUUCAGGCUAAGUUGGCGGGGUCCUGGCGAGCGCGACAUAUAGCAUUUCAACUUGAGCUCUCGCUCAAAAUUAUGCCCGAGCACCAUCCAGGGACCUUAUUAUGUGUAAUGGGAUGUCAAUUCAUGGUCGGGGCGACAGUCUGGGCAUAGACCUUGCGAUCCCGCCCUUGACCCCCGGAGUGGUACCCGCGUGUCAGCACUUCGGCGUCCCCGGCACAGCUCGAAUGCCAUAGCGUCCCCGGCACAGUUCGUCUGCCGCACGCUCGCAUGUGCCAUUGAUGCAGCUGUUGCUUCCGUGGUCCCACACCCGGCCAUUCGCGUCAAUCGAGGCCUCCCGUCAAAGUAGCGUAGCACCGUAGUCAACUCCACAAACCCACAUCCACAUGUCAUGUCUGUUGCAGCGCCCGUUCCAAACCCGCAGCCUCAGUGCCCGCCCGCGUGCGCCGCCGCCGCGGGCACAGGCCCGUGAAUAGCGGUGCUCAGCGACACAAGAUGCACCUCGUUGUCGCACGCCACAGCCACACACGGCUCCGCCGUCGCAGCCGCUCCAGCGCGGCCCGGCGUGGAGGGCGCGGCGGCGAAGCCCUGCAGCGGCAUUAGCGUGUGUUGCUGUGUGUUGGUUGUUGUUCCAAGUGACAGGACGUGAGCAAGCACGGAGGGCAUGAAGGUCUGGGCGUACAGCAAGGGGUUAAGCACGACAGAGCAUUCGCGCCCUCACCGAGCAGGGCCGGGAGCAGCCACGACAGACAGGGGUUCGGGGUGUCCAACUCGGCGGUUAGCUGUCGGUUGCCACCGACAUUUGGCCCCGACCCCCCCUGGAAGUGGCUUCCCUCGUGCGACUAAGCUUGAAAUCUAUAGGUAUAAUAUCCUUAAGCUCCCCUGACAAGUUUACAGGAGUCAAGACGGAUGCUCUCGAAUUAUCACUUCGCGGGCAGGCAUGAAGCCUUGAAACCGCGUCCCCUGGACCCCUCGCAUGCUCAUG